CUACCGGUUGGGAAAGGUGCAACUGCACCGCAGAUGGAGGAGCCCGCGCGCAUUAGCUAGUUGGUGGGGUAACGGCCUACCAAGGCGACGAUGCGUAGCCGACCUGAGAGGGUGGACGGCCACACUGGGACUGAGACACGGCCCAGACUCCUACGGGAGGCAGCAGUAGGGAAUCUUCCGCAAUGGGCGCAAGCCUGACGGAGCAACGCCGCGUGAGCGAAGAAGGCCUUCGGGUUGUAAAGCUCAGUCACUCGGGAAGAGCGGACGAGGGAGUGGAAAGCCCUCGCCGAGACGGUACCGAGAGAGGAAGCCCCGGCUAACUACGUG
This 327-nucleotide ribosomal RNA is filed under the name uncultured bacterium. RNAcentral describes it as "bacterial SSU rRNA". It matches the Rfam family "Bacterial small subunit ribosomal RNA", at positions 191 to 507 of the family's 1533-position model. The record is from RNAcentral.